RNAcentral lists this ribosomal RNA (253 nucleotides) under uncultured bacterium. RNAcentral's name for it is "partial 16S ribosomal RNA". It matches the Rfam family "Bacterial small subunit ribosomal RNA", at positions 524 to 776 of the family's 1533-position model. The record is from RNAcentral.
GACGAGCCGUGCGAACGUUAUUCGGAAUCACUGGGCUUAAAGCGCGCGUAGGCGGCGCCGAAAGUUGGAGGUGAAAUCCCACGGCUCAACCGUGGAACUGCCCCCAAAACUACGGUGCUGGAGGGAGGUAGGGGCAUGUGGAACUUCCAGUGUAGCGGUGAAAUGCGUUGAGAUUGGAAGGAACGCCAGUGGCGAAAGCGACAUGCUGGAUCUCUACUGACGCUGAGGCGCGAAAGCUAGGGGAGCGAACGGG